RNAcentral lists this ribosomal RNA (292 nucleotides) under uncultured bacterium. RNAcentral describes it as "partial 16S ribosomal RNA". It matches the Rfam family "Bacterial small subunit ribosomal RNA", at positions 505 to 796 of the family's 1533-position model. The record is from RNAcentral.
GUGUCAGCCGCCGCGGUAAGACGAACCGUGCGAACGUUGUUCGGAAUCACUGGGCUUAAAGGGCGCGUAGGCGGACCGGAUAGUCUGCGGUGAAAGCCUCCAGCUUAACUGGAGAAGUGCCGUGGAUACUGCCGGUCUGGAGGAGGGUAGGGGCAUCUGGAACGCUGGGUGGAGCGGUGAAAUGCGUUGAUAUCCAGCGGAACUCCGGUGGCGAAGGCGAGGUGCUGGACCCUUUCUGACGCUGAGGCGCGAAAGCCAGGGGAGCAAACGGGAUUAGAAACCCUUGUAGUCC